GGCCUCUUCGGGGGUACACGAGCGGCGAACGGGUGAGUAACACGUGAGUAAUCUGCCCUUCACUUCGGGAUAAGCCUCAGAAAUGGGGUCUAAUACCGGAUAUGACAUCUCCAGGCAUCUGGUGGGUGUGGAAAGGUUUUUUCCGGUGGGGGAUGUGCUCGCGGCCUAUCAGCUUGAUGGUGGGGUAAUGGCCUACCAUGGCUUCGACGGGUAGCCGGCCUGAGAGGGUGACCGGUCACACUGGGACUGAGACACGGCCCAGACUCCUACGGGAGGCAGCAGUGGGGAAUUGUUCGCAAUGGGCGCAAGCCUGACGACGCAACGCCGCGUGGAGGAUGAAGGUCUUCGGA
RNAcentral lists this ribosomal RNA (350 nucleotides) under uncultured bacterium. Its description in RNAcentral is "bacterial SSU rRNA". It matches the Rfam family "Bacterial small subunit ribosomal RNA", at positions 73 to 422 of the family's 1533-position model. The record is from RNAcentral.